GACUGUAUUUAGUUGAGAGUCCAUAGGCCUAUCUAGGAUAACUCAAAAAGCCGACUGUAAUUCCAAAAAGCUCCACAAAGCCCAGAGACUCAGACUCAAGUUACUCGGUGAGUUUGUUCGUUCUCUCACGUCUUUGUCUCACCUCUCUCUUUCUGCACUAGUUUCGACCACUGAUGCACACCACCGGAAACGGAAAGAUGUCUUCCUCUCUAUGAGCUCUGAAUAUCCUGUUUUCCGGUCUCUAGUUUCAAGUAAGUUAACCUAAUUCUUGUUGUUUAGUUUUAUUUAAACCCCAAAUUACUUUACUUACUUUAUUAGUUUUGUGAUCUUUUAUAUCCAAGCCGUAAGUUAUAUACCCUAAAGUAUAUGACUUAAUUUUUGGGAUGAAUUCUAGCUUUUCAUUAUUGUGAUAUUAUGUGAUUUUCAAUUUUGUAAACUCUAAAUUAGGCAUGAUUAUCCCUAUAGUUCAUAUAGCUCAUAUGAAUUUACUUGGUCAUAGCUCUAUCUUGUUCCAGUCUUGUUUGCCCAACUUCUAUUUGGAAAAUGAUUGUUUCUGCAUGUAGAACACUUGAAUCUACCAUAUAAACUGCUUUUUUCACCUUUUUUUUUGUUCUAUAGAUGGUUUUCCGUUUGCUUAAUGGUUCGUUUUGACUAAAUCACAUUCUCUAUUGUUUAUGAUGGAUAUUGAUGACAUGUUUGGCCAGUCUUUUUGGAGCGAUGGAUGAACAAAUAUUCUUCUUUUUGUAGGCAGUGAAUAAGCCAUUUGAAUGAGUGUAAAUGACCAUUUUACCCAUUCACUAAGUAACAUUUUCUCAUUAUGCCCUUCUAGAAAACCAUGGAUCUUUACGACAUAUUUGGCAGUCUCUAAAUUUAGAAGACACCUACCUAAACGAAGGCUUCCAAGAAGGCUAUGACACCGGUUUUGCCUUGGGAAAAGACGAUGGGCGUGAAGUUGGAUUAAAAACAGAGUUCAUAAAUGGUGAGGAAUUAGGGUUUUAUAGAGGGUGCAUCGAUGUUUGGACCUCUGUGAUUCGAGUUGAACCCACGUGCUUCUCGAAAAGUGCUCAAAAGAAGAUUAAAGAGAUGGAUGAAUUGGUGUCCAAGUAUCCGAUUUUGGACCCUGAAAACAAGAAUGUCACACAUAUUAUGGGAUUAUUGAGGGUGAAAUUUCGGGCUAUUUGUGCAGCAUUGAAUAUGAAGUUGGAGUAUAAAGGGUACCCGAAAGAAAACGACAUUCUGUUUUGAGGUAUGUAAAUCAAUAAUUAAUGGGGAAUGUUUUUGGAUGGAAUGGAAUCCAUCAAAGGAAUUGGAAUCCGAGGGAAUUGAUGAAGGAACUGUUAUGAUUGGUCCUAAAUCUUGUUAAAAACCAAUUCCUCCUUUCAAGAUUCUUUUAGAAAGUUAUUUUUGGUUUUGUUUGCAAUCAUUUUGAAUCAGAAGUAACAAACCAUAUUUUUUUUCUAUCAAAUCCUGUUUGAAUAAAUAAUGUUUAAAUUAUUUGAAAAGAUGAUGAGAAGGAAGUGAAAUUUAUAUAAAAAAAUUAAAAUUUAAUGAGGAAAUCUUUUGUCUAUGAUUCUAAUUAUUAGUUAAUUCCAUGAAAUUAGCAGAUGAGAUCCAACUACAACUGUUUUGUUGGAUGAAGCACAGGUUUCAGAUCCUCUCAUCAUAGCUAGUUCUGUGAAAAGGUUUAAUAAUUUGCUCAAUGUUAUCUUGUUUAAAUGGUAAUCAAAUUCUCCAUGGAGAUGUUAAAGCUAACCACUUUUUUUCUGCAAUGUUUCUACAUGUUCUACCUGAGUAAUUUUUUGAAAAUUUAAAUAUGAUAUAUAUAACUUGAUAGUUCCCUUUUUUCAUUUCAGUGUUGGAAUUCUAGAAGAGUUGUGAGAUGAAGAUAAGGAACUCUUUCCAGUUGAAUGUAUCAUAGAGAUGAAGAAAGGAUCCAUCUUCUCUUAAUGUCAAACAUAGCAUUGGUUGCGCCUUAUGAGCCAUUAUACUUGAAAAUUUGUGUAAAAAUUAAAAGCUCUUAUUCUUAGCUGCUGUUUCUGUUUUCUUCUUUCAAAUCUCACUUUGCAUUUUGUGGUCCCAUUCCCAUCUUGUAGAUCUAGGUAUGAUUCCUGCCUGGUAUCAAGGACAUAUCUUUACCCAUUUUGUUCCUCUGUUUUUUAUUUCUUAAUUUUGUAAGCGUUUGUUACACUUUGGAUAGUAUUGAUAAACAACUAUGAAGUCUAGUUGAUUUGUAUGUAUAGUCAUGUGCUAAUUUAUCAACAUUAACAAGAAAGAGAUCAGGUUCAUGAUUCUCCUGACUGUUCAUAAGUAUUUUUUAGAGUUUUGUUUAUAAGUCCUUAUUUGAUUAGGGUAAGUUUUCUUCUUUUUAUACACAAUAAUGUUUCUAGCUUUUAGGAUUAGUUGAUUGUUGGAGAAAUUAUAUUCAUUGUGACCAUUAAAAGAGCAAAGGUCUUUUGUUGUUCUAUCUUACUAGUCAUUAUUUCCAUCAUCC
RNAcentral lists this long non-coding RNA (2491 nucleotides) under Lactuca sativa (garden lettuce). RNAcentral's name for it is "long non-coding RNA (LSAT_LNC001061)". Lineage: Eukaryota; Viridiplantae; Streptophyta; Magnoliopsida; Asterales; Asteraceae. The record is from RNAcentral.